RNAcentral lists this transfer RNA (71 nucleotides) under Chromera velia. RNAcentral describes it as "tRNA-Gly". It matches the Rfam family "tRNA". From Rfam's summary of the family: Transfer RNA (tRNA) molecules are approximately 80 nucleotides in length. Their secondary structure includes four short double-helical elements and three loops (D, anti-codon, and T loops). Lineage: Eukaryota; Chromeraceae. The record is from RNAcentral.
GCAAUUAUAGUUUAGUGGUAGAACCUUAGCCUUCCAAGCUAAUGAUAUGAGUUCGAUUCUCAUUAAUUGCU